This 253-nucleotide ribosomal RNA is filed under the name uncultured Helicobacteraceae bacterium. Its description in RNAcentral is "partial 16S ribosomal RNA". It matches the Rfam family "Bacterial small subunit ribosomal RNA", at positions 524 to 776 of the family's 1533-position model. The record is from RNAcentral. Lineage: Bacteria; Pseudomonadati; Campylobacterota; Epsilonproteobacteria; Campylobacterales; Helicobacteraceae.
UACGGAGGGUGCAAGCGUUACUCGGAAUCACUGGGCGUAAAGAGCGCGUAGGCGGGAUAGCAAGUCAGAUGUGAAAUCCUAUGGCUUAACCAUAGAACUGCAUUUGAAACUGUUAUUCUAGAGUAUGGGAGAGGUAGGUGGAAUUCUUGGUGUAGGGGUAAAAUCCGUAGAGAUCAAGAGGAAUACUCAUUGCGAAGGCGGCUUACUGGACGAUGACUGACGCUGAGGCUCGAAAGCGUGGGGAGCAAACAGG